UGUCCAGUGUUUGCAUUUCUCUGUAAUGAGGCACGGUGACGGAUUGACCCAAUGAGGAAAAAGCCUAUCGUAGAGUGCGCUUUAAAUAGACGCCUCGUUCGAAUGGAUGAGAGCUCUAAAUUCAGAUUGUUAUUACAGUCAUCCCUUACCGCAGGCACGGGGGUUCAGUCUUUAUAUUUCGUUCAUUCCGGCGUAUGACCAAAUGGGGGUGUUUACCGUCAAACACACUGAGGGACAGGAAUACCGUAAGAUUGGACUUCCUUGUUUACUAAACACGUCAGUUUAUAGUUUCUGCCGGAUUCCGUCUUUUAGCUCUGUCUGUCUCCAUGUCGUCCUGCAGCCUGUCUGUCUGGAAGGAGGUCGUGUAGCUCAAUAACUACCUUCAAAUGGAUCAUUAUUUUUGAUCUGCAGCAGACAUAACUCAGGAAGCCAAGAGGUGCAGAGACAGGACUGGCUGAAACGAGACGCUAUGUCUGAAGGCUUCAGCCAGUGUUCUCAUGGACAGUGUGGUUGCACCGUGGGGGGUCUAGAAGCCAAGGCGUUCUCCUGAGCUCUCAGCUGGAGACGAUAGAAAAAGGAGUUUUUAGAAGAUGGGUCUAACUACUGUAUACCCACAUGUGUCCUACACUACUGUAUCAGUCCUCACUGCACUGUCUUAGUCAAUGUCUAUGUCUGUGCGGGUUUGUGUCCUGUGUAUGCUGAAACAUCAGACAAGUAAAAUAAAUAAAUAAGAAUUCCUUGAA
Hypomesus transpacificus is the source of this 743-nucleotide long non-coding RNA. RefSeq lists it as uncharacterized. The record is from RefSeq and is a predicted model, not a curated record. The transcript is spliced from 2 exons. NCBI's taxonomy places the organism in Eukaryota, Metazoa, Chordata, Actinopteri, Osmeriformes, Osmeridae.